AGCAGCUUGCCAUGAAUGACGAUAUUAAGCAGUGAGGGGAAGGUGCUGGGACAGUGACGGUCCAGCAUUACAAGCUCUUAACUCCAGCUGCAAUUACGACUGACAAAAACUUGUUCAGACCGAAGAGAAGAAUAAAUGUGAAGCAAGGAGGACCUCAAAACACAUCUUUUAGUGUCUCGGUCUUCUCACAAAACUCUGCCAAUCUAAACCUAUUUUCACUGCUAGAAGGAGACACCCCUAACGAGAAAUGAAUACAACUACACUGAACAAUAAUAUAAACGCGACACUUUUGUUUUUGCUUCCAUUUUUCGUGAGCCGGACUCCAAGAUCUAAAACUUUUUCGACAAUUUCCCUCAAAUAUUGUGCACCGAUGUGUCUCCUUGGUCGAGAUAAUCCAUCCCAGCUCACAGGUGUGGCAUAUCAAGACGCUGAUUAGACAGCACGAUUAUUGCACAGGUGUGCCGUAGGCUGGCCACAAUAAAAGGCCACUCUGAAAUGGGCGCUUUUAUCACACAGCACAAUGCCACGGAUGUCGCAAGCUCUGAGGGGAGCGCGCCAUUGGCAUGCUGACCACCGGAGCUGUUGCCCGUGAAUCGAAUGUCCAUUUCUCUACCAUGACGAUUUGCAAGUGGUUCAAGAGACUGGUUGAAAGACCUGGAUCGUGAUUGGAUCGAUAACAGUAUUCGAUUGGACAGACACCGUCAGAAGUCCGCUUCUGCUGCAGAAACACCUGGUCAGAACCACAUCAAGAAGAUUAAAGACUCGCUUUGAGUUACUUGGUCCGUUGUCUUUGCUUUUAUACAUCAAGCCUAAUGUUUUGCAAGUUACUGCCCAUGUGGUGAAAGGGGAAAGAAAACAUGAUCAAAUACAAAUAAAGGGAAAGCUAACGUGAGGCAAGGCAUGUUGGAGAAAAAAGGGGUCCUGGGGGAGAAGGAGCAAGAAGGAGUCCGGCAGCAAACGGAGCGGCGCUGGUGUCUGUUUUCCCUCUGGCUGGUGACGGGCGACUGCAGCCAGCAUAAACACAUGCCUUCAUGGCUCACACAUUUCCUGCUUCACUCCACAUCCCAGCGCUGGCUGGGCCACACAGGCUCAGGACACCGCUGCGAGUUGCGCAGGCAUGUACCAAACCUGGACUUCCAAUUUGUUUCACAACAUUUAUUCAUUGGCUUUCUUUUUGCGUGUUCCUUUUCAUGUCCCCCUACGGAUGAGAUAUUUGAACGCAUAGUGCUUUCUCCCACUUUAUGCCAUGUCAUUCCGUUAUUUGCUGAUGAAACGCACCUCCUUUCAUCUGUAGAAAAAGCUUUGUCUCCUAAAGCGAGACCCUACUCCUUCAACUUUCAGGCAAAAUCCGGCGGACACAAUGGCAGUGGGUAGAGAGGGGGAGGGGAGUGUGGGAGCCUGAGAGGCAGUCGAGAUAUGGCUUGAACAGAAUGCCAACGAGGGAGAGCAGGCCACGGAGACGACGCAAGGGUCUUUCGUGAUCUAUCGCCCUUCAGAGACUUCACAAGAAAUGCAGCCAUUUUUCUUGGUACAGUCCUAUGUGCGGUGCAAUCCUGCUGUUACUCGACAUUCCCAGCCAGCUCCAGCUGCAUCCUCUCCCGUCCACAUACUUUAGAGUCACACGAUUAUUCACAUAUGCUUAAUUGUAGGUGUUAAUUUGAGAAAUAGCAGAAGGAACUUGUGUUCUUGCUGAGGGCUGUAUGAAUUGAAAGCACAGGGGUCAUUGAGGCGAGUCGGGGUGUAAAACAGCCCUAGUACGCCAUAGUCCAGAAGGAGAUGAUUAUCUGGAGCUAAUUUAACCCACA
Molecule: long non-coding RNA, 1805 nt
Organism: Phyllopteryx taeniolatus (common seadragon)
Lineage: Eukaryota; Metazoa; Chordata; Actinopteri; Syngnathiformes; Syngnathidae
Exons: 3
Source: RefSeq, a predicted model, not a curated record